AUUGAACGCUGGCGGCAGGCCUAACACAUGCAAGUCGAGCGGAUGAGAGGAGCUUGCUCUUCGAUUCAGCGGCGGACGGGUGAGUAAUGCCUAGGAAUCUGCCUAGUAGUGGGGGACAACGUUUCGAAAGGAACGCUAAUACCGCAUACGUCCUACGGGAGAAAGUGGGGGAUCUUCGGACCUCACGCUAUUAGAUGAGCCUAGGUCGGAUUAGCUAGUUGGUAGGGUAACGGCCUACCAAGGCGACGAUCCGUAACUGGUCUGAGAGGAUGAUCAGUCACACUGGAACGGAGACGCGGUCCAGACUCCUACGGGAGGCAGCAGUGGGGAAUAUUGGACAGUGGGCGAAAGCCUGAUCCAGCCAUGCCGCGUGUGUGAAGAAGGCCCUCGGGUCGUAAAGCACUUUAAGUUGGGAGGAAGGGCUUACAGCGAAUACCUGUGAGUUUUGACGUUACCGACAGAAUAAGCACCGGCUAACUUCGUGCCAGCCGCCGCAGUAA
This 500-nucleotide ribosomal RNA is filed under the name uncultured bacterium. RNAcentral describes it as "partial 16S ribosomal RNA". It matches the Rfam family "Bacterial small subunit ribosomal RNA", at positions 30 to 523 of the family's 1533-position model. The record is from RNAcentral.